RNAcentral lists this ribosomal RNA (578 nucleotides) under uncultured bacterium. Its description in RNAcentral is "partial 16S ribosomal RNA". It matches the Rfam family "Bacterial small subunit ribosomal RNA", at positions 355 to 923 of the family's 1533-position model. The record is from RNAcentral.
UGGGGAAUUUUGGACAAUGGGCGAAAGCCUGAUCCAGCAAUGCCGCGUGUGUGAAGAAGGCCUUCGGGUUGUAAAGCACUUUUGUCCGGAAAGAAAUCCUUGGCUCUAAUACAGUCGGGGGAUGACGGUACCGGAAGAAUAAGCACCGGCUAACUACGUGCCAGCAGCCGCGGUAAUACGUAGGGUGCAAGCGUUAAUCGGAAUUACUGGGCGUAAAGCGUGCGCAGGCGGUUUGCUAAGACCGAUGUGAAAUCCCCGGGCUCAACCUGGGAACUGCAUUGGUGACUGGCAGGCUAGAGUAUGGCAGAGGGGGGUAGAAUUCCACGUGUAGCAGUGAAAUGCGUAGAGAUGUGGAGGAAUACCGAUGGCGAAGGCAGCCCCCUGGGCCAAUACUGACGCUCAUGCACGAAAGCGUGGGGAGCAAACAGGAUUAGAUACCCUGGUAGUCCACGCCCUAAACGAUGUCAACUAGUUGUUGGGGGACUUCAUUUUCCUUAGUAACGUAGCUAACGCGUGAAGUUGACCGCCUGGGGAGUACGGUCGCAAGAUUAAAACUCAAAGGAAUUGACGGGGUCAUA